AGUUCAGAUUGCAGGCUGCAACUCGCCUGCAUGAAGUCGGAAUUGCUAGUAAUCGUAGGUCAGCAUACUACGGUGAAUACGUUCCCGGGCCUUGUACACACCGCCCGUCAAACCAUGAGAGUUGGCAACACCCGAAGUCGGUAGUCUAACCGCAAGGAGGACGCGGCCGAAGGUGGGUCCGGUAAUUGGGGUGAAGUCGUAACAAGGUAAC
This 211-nucleotide ribosomal RNA is filed under the name uncultured bacterium. RNAcentral's name for it is "partial 16S ribosomal RNA". It matches the Rfam family "Bacterial small subunit ribosomal RNA", at positions 1290 to 1500 of the family's 1533-position model. The record is from RNAcentral.